CCCUAUGGGGUGCAGCAGGUCUUGGAGUUGCUCUUCUGGCUGUUUGGGAAGCCAAUACAUCUCUGAAUGAAGAGAUCAUCAAGACCGGAGAACAUACUGGGAAAACGCUCACAGGUAUGCGAGGGCUUACCAAAGAUCUUCAAGCCAUUCUUUCGGUUACAGGGGCUGGGGGAGGUUUAACGAAAGGUCUUGGCAAAGUCGUUCCGGGGUGGGACAUUAGGCACGGGAAUGAAGAAGAUGAAGCUAUCUGGAGGGACAGGAAUGCUCAAGCUUGGAAAGAGUAUGAUUCUCAGCUUCCCGCUUAUGAAGACCCCACCAAGGUGUUUGAGGCUUAUGCAAAGAAAUUGGGAGACAGGCUUGCUCUCCUUACAGAGAAGACCGCAGAAUACAAGGACGAGAUCGACAGGCUGAUUCCUGUAACGAAGGAAUUGGCGGGAGGGC
RNAcentral lists this ribosomal RNA (441 nucleotides) under uncultured prokaryote. RNAcentral's name for it is "partial 16S ribosomal RNA". The record is from RNAcentral.